GGAUGUGAGGGCGAUCUGGCUGCAACAUCUGUCACCCCAUUGAUCGCCAGGGUUGAUUCAGCUGAUCUGGCUGGCUAGGCGGGGUCCCCUUCCUUCCUCACCGCUCCAUGUGCAUCCCUCCCGAAGCUGCGUGCUCGGCUGAAGAGGACGACCACCCUGAUAGAGGAGGACCAUUGCCUCAGUCAAGGGUAUAUGAGUAGCUGCACUCCCCUGCUUUAGAGCCUCCUCUGCAUUUUAGCUCUUGAGAACCUGGUCAUAAGGCCAAGUGGAACUUGGAGCUUUGGAUGGAUGCUUGGCUGU
Molecule: non-coding RNA, 300 nt
Organism: Fukomys damarensis (Damara mole-rat)
Lineage: Eukaryota; Metazoa; Chordata; Mammalia; Rodentia; Bathyergidae
Source: Rfam